UGGCUCAGUUGGUAGAGCAUGGUGUGUGCAACGCCAGGGUUGUGGGUUCGAUUCCCAU
Non-coding RNA from Salmo salar (Atlantic salmon), 58 nucleotides. The record is from Rfam. Lineage: Eukaryota; Metazoa; Chordata; Actinopteri; Salmoniformes; Salmonidae.